Lagenorhynchus albirostris (white-beaked dolphin) is the source of this 661-nucleotide long non-coding RNA. RefSeq lists it as uncharacterized. The transcript is spliced from 3 exons. NCBI's taxonomy places the organism in Eukaryota, Metazoa, Chordata, Mammalia, Artiodactyla, Delphinidae. The record is from RefSeq and is a predicted model, not a curated record.
GCUGCACAGGAGCUGUCAGUGGUCUGAGGCUGGGGCCGCCGGCACCCAGAGCCUCCCGCAGAGAAGGGAGCCGGCCUCUGCCCUGGCCAUCGUCAGGCCGCGGUAAGGGAUGAAGGUGGAGGAGACGGAAACCAGGGCGAGGACUCAUGACAGGAACAGGGGUCAGGAAUCCCUUCAGUCCAUCUCAUCUCCCCAGGCCAGAGGCACCUGGUCAUUCCAGAGCCAGAUUUACAGAGACACCGCUCUCAUCCCAUCAGACCACCCAUCACAGGGUGCGAUUCAGCAGGUUUUAGGGCGUUCACAGAUUGUACAGCCGUCACCACAGUCAGUUCCAGAGCCUUCCGUCACUGCCUUCAGCCAUUGCCUGAGCCCGGCCCAGCCCCCGAGACCUCACAUCUGAGGAGUUGCCCAGCCUGGAUGUUCACACCAGCGGGUCUCGUGGCCGCUGCGGAGGUGCCCGCUGUCUGUGGCCAUCACUGGCUGUGGAGCCCUGGUCUGCGGUGGUUCCUGAUGCCCUGCUCCAUUCACCAAUGGGGAGACUGGCUGUUGAGGGGCUGGCCUGAGCCAGGGCCGCUGUUCCCAGGUCCUGCAGGGCUCUAAGGGGCCCCCUUUGGUAGCCUGGGGAUAAUUUUUUAAUAUUUAAUAAACUUUUUUAAAUUAA